Molecule: ribosomal RNA, 225 nt
Filed under: uncultured bacterium
Lineage: Bacteria
Description: partial 16S ribosomal RNA
Rfam family: Bacterial small subunit ribosomal RNA
Source: RNAcentral
CGGAACACGUACGCAACCUACCCAUAACUGAUGAAUAGCCCUCCGAAAGGAGGAUUAAUACAUCGUAACUUAAUGAAGUGGCAUCACUUUAUUAAUAUAGCUCCGGCGGUUUUGGAUGGGCGUGCGCCUGAUUAGGUAGUUGGCAGGGUAACGGCCUACCAAGUCUGCGAUCAGUAACUGGUGUGAGAGCACGACCAGUCACACGGGCACUGAGACACGGGCCCG